AUUCUUGAAUGAAUAAAUAUAAUCGAGGUGCAAAUAAUUCAUAGAAAUAAACAAGGAACAACCUUGUAAAAACCCGAAAUAGGAUAGAAAGUCGGGCUAUGCCCCUUUGGAUCACAAGUUUUGUUUCAUGCUUCUAACAACCGACAUUCAUUGGCAUAAAUUAAGUAGUGAAGAGUCUAAGCUCGGUCAGGUAUAUCAUUUGAAAUUUAACAUGAAGAUCUUAAGUUGGGAAAACAAAAGACUGAUAUGAGUAAUUGCUACAGCGGAAGUCUAUCAUAGGAAUUUAUCGCUAGCCUCAGCUCCGUCCCGUCAGCACCGGCCAGCCAACCUGAAAACAUUUGAAAGUAUUUUUGGGCUAAGUACUAAUGUACUUAGUGGGCAUGCAUUUUCUGAAACAUUUCAUAUUUUAAUAAAGACAGUUUAUCCAAUCAUACUUGACAUGACUUAGAAGGUUUUAAAUUGAAAGAAGUACUUCUAAGCAUGUUAAAACAUUUUCUUUCAUUUGUGCGCAAAUGUCACACUCCCUUUCCGUUACUCGCUGUGAUCCCGGACCU
Molecule: long non-coding RNA, 554 nt
Filed under: Salvia miltiorrhiza (redroot sage)
Lineage: Eukaryota; Viridiplantae; Streptophyta; Magnoliopsida; Lamiales; Lamiaceae
Description: long non-coding RNA (SMIL_LNC011656)
Source: RNAcentral